AGAGUUUGAUCCUGGCUCAGAAUGAGCGCUGGCGGCGUGCCUAACACAUGCAAGUCGUACGAGAAAGGGGCUUCGGCCCUGAGUAGAGUGGCGCACGGGUGAGUAACGCGUGGGUAAUCUACCCUUGGAUUUGGGAUAACUCUGCGAAAGUGGAGCUAAUACCGGAUAGUCUGGCUUUAAAUAAGAAGUCGGUAAAGGAUGCCUCUGCAUAUGCAUUCGUCCGAGGAUGAGCCCGCGUCUCAUUAGCUAGUCGGUAGGGUAAUGGCCUACCAAGGCAACGAUCAGUAGCCGACCUGAGAGGGUGAUCGGCCACACUGGAACUGAGACACGGUCCAGACUCCUACGGGAGGCAGCAGUGGGGAAUAUUGCACAAUGGGCGCAAGCCUGAUGCAGCAAUGCCGUGUGAGUGAUGAAGGCUUUCGAGUCGUAAAGCUCUUUGAUCAGGGAUGAUAAUGACAGUACCUGAAAAACAAGCCACGGCUAACUACGUGCCAGCAGCCGCGGUAA
This 507-nucleotide ribosomal RNA is filed under the name uncultured bacterium. RNAcentral's name for it is "bacterial SSU rRNA". It matches the Rfam family "Bacterial small subunit ribosomal RNA", at positions 8 to 523 of the family's 1533-position model. The record is from RNAcentral.